GGAGUCUGGACCGUGUCUCAGUUCCAAUGUGGGGGACCUUCCUCUCAGAACCCCUAACCAUCGUCGGCACGGUGGGCCGUUACCCCGCCGUCUACCUAAUGGUACGCGAGCCAAUCCGUAUGCAAUGAAUCUUUCAAUAAACUCCCAUGCGAGAAUCUAUAUUACGGGGUAUUACGCGACGUUUCCAUCGCUUAUCCCCCUGCCACGGGCAUGUUGCUCACGCGUUACGCACCCUUCCGCCGGUCGCCAUCAAAGGAAGCAAGCUUCCUUCAUGCUGCCCCUCGACUUGCAUGUGUUAAGCCUGUAGCUAGCGUUCAUC
Molecule: ribosomal RNA, 319 nt
Filed under: uncultured Bacteroidales bacterium
Lineage: Bacteria; Pseudomonadati; Bacteroidota; Bacteroidia; Bacteroidales
Description: partial 16S ribosomal RNA
Source: RNAcentral